ACAAACAUUAAACAAACAAUGUUUAAUAUUCAUAGAUGAAAAAUUAUGCCAUCAGGCCUCCUAUAAACAAGGCACUUUUGUUAAUUUCUAAUUGAUUGGGAGAGUGGCAUCAUUGCACUAUAAUUGAUUUUUCUCUCUUCUAUUUUGUGCAGCCCAGUGGUUUUUUGUGUGGUUUGCUACUAUAAAGUGAUUCCUUAAUUUAAUUUGUAGAAGCUGAAGAGCUUAUUGUGUUUUAGCAGUCCCAAAUAUUUAUUUACUAGCAUGAACUUGAUGUUUUUUUAAUCUCAGGCUUUAAGAAAAGAGAGUAAGUCUGAUCAGAAAUAAUACAGUAGAAAUUAUGCAAAGAUUUAUUUGUCAGCUAUCUUUUAAAAUUGAUUUUCCCUGAAGCUCAAUUGUUGCUGAAGAAAGUUAUAGAACACAGUGACAAAAUGGAAAAGGUAGAAACAAAUCAAGGUUGCCAAAAAGAAAGAUACUCUUAAAUUAUGCCUUGCAACAAAUUAGGGCUCAAGGGAGUGUGACUAAUACCUGAUAUUUAAAAUGAUCUAAGCUACUGAAAGGCUACAUGUAUAUGGAUGAAAUUCCAAAUGUAGACUUUGUAAAAAUUCCAAACCAAUAAUCAUGUUGGUUGUACAAUACAUAUAAAGUAGGGUAUUGAUAUUGUUGAAACAUAAUUAAAGAGGAAAACUGAGGUACUGUAAUUUAUUUUUAUUGUGAUUUAUUUUUUAAAUUGUUUUGGCAUUGUAAUUUAAAACAAAUUGCAAAGAGGCUUAGUGACUUUGAUGAUAAAGUGGACACAGUGCCAUUUACUAAAUAUGUCUGAUAUCUGCAGUUUGGUUUCCUUUAAGAAAUUUCAAUUUUUAUAAUAAACACAUACAAAAAACCAACGUCCAAUACACAUGUGAUUGCUGAACAUUUGAAGUGUGUUUGGUGAAUGAGAAAAUGAAUUUUUAAUUUUGUUUAAUUUACAUAAAUAUAAAUUUAAAAAUGAAAUUAUUUCAACAUUUUUAAAUGUGUUUAGACAAUAUGAUGUAUAUGUUAUAUUUUCAACCUUAAAUUUUAUGGGAUGUAAAUAUAGAUCAAAUAAUUCUAAUGAAGAACUAACCUCCAGGUUAAGAUGCCCAGAAAUGAAAAAUACAUAACCAGUUUCAAAACCAAGUUAAAGUGAUAAAUUAUUUGAAAGAAAUUAUAAUUCUGAUUACAUAUAGUAUCUAUAUACUGGGUUAAAGUAAUUUUAAUCAUUUAUUUUUAAUGUAGCUGCUGAGACGAUUAGAAUUCCAUGUGUGGAUCAUAUAUUUUUCCAUUGGAUAAUACUGACUGAAACAGACUACUGAUUACUGAAUUUAAAUAUAUUAUUAGGACUGUAUUCUAGGACAGUAUAUGCUAAUUUAUUUUUUCUCUUAUUUCCACACUCAUUCCCAACCCACCCCUGCUCCCCUCAUACAUCAACAAAUGGGAGAGGCAGGUCUGUGCACGCCCUACCGAGGUCCUGAGUCAUGCAGAAGAUGUCGAAUCACCCUGCUGCAGACAGGCAGGUCUGCCCACACCCUGUCUAGGUCCCCAGUAACGUGGAACACACACCGAAUCAGCCCGCUGCAGACAGGAAGGUCUGUGCAUGCCCUACCGAGGUCCUGAGUCACGCGGAAGACAUUGAAUCAUCCCACUGCAGACAGGCAGCCACCUGAUUCCACAUUACCAAGGUGCAGAGGACACCAGACCACCAGACCAAGAUUCUGCAAACUCCAGCGUCCCUGAGAGAGCGAGGGGAGGUCACCAGAGUGAGGCCUGGGGGCCUGCAGGGCCCCACUGAAGGAGUUGGUGCAGCCAGGCCCAGGGUCCCAGCAGCUGCCCGAGAACUGUUACAUCUACUGCAUGAAGCUGGCCAGUACCGAGUUAUGCCGAGUUACCAGGCUGGAUUCAAACUCUGGUGUCCUCCUGCCCUGGCCUCCUGAGUACCUGGGACCACAGGUGUUUACCACCUGCUACAGUGUAGAUUAAGAAUGACCCCAACUCUCCUGUGGUCACACAUGGGCCUUUCGGAAGGCCCUUCUGCCAUGCCCUUCUGUGUGGGAGCUUGUCAACCAAACUGCAAAUGUGAGCCAAAAUAAACCUCUCCUCCUUUAAGUUGUGAGUAUUGGGCAUUUUGUCCUAUCAAUGAAAAAGUGCCUACGCCACUACCAUAUCUGGCUAUUUAGUUAUUCUUGAUGUAAAAUUUCUAAGAUACUCUCAUUUAAAAAUACAUGAUUUUCUCCUAUGUAUAUGUGAAUUCUCACAUUUUUCGAAAAGUAACACAUUAAAUAACUAAUUACACAAACAUUUAUCAACUUAAGAAUGUACAUACAAGAGUGAAAUUUAUUUGCUUUGAGAGGACUGAUAGACGUAAACAGAUAAAUAGAUAAAAGAUAAACAAAUGCAGAUG
This is a long non-coding RNA of Heterocephalus glaber (naked mole-rat), 2416 nucleotides long. RefSeq lists it as uncharacterized. NCBI's taxonomy places the organism in Eukaryota, Metazoa, Chordata, Mammalia, Rodentia, Bathyergidae. The record is from RefSeq and is a predicted model, not a curated record.